AAGCAGCCGCCGCGGUAAUACGUAGGUGGCAAGCGUUGUCCGGAAUUAUUGGGCGUAAAGGGCUCGCAGGCGGUUUCUCAAGUCUGAUGUGAAAGCCCCCGGCUCAACCGGGGAGGGUCAUUGGAAACUGGGAAACUUGAGUGCAGAAGAGGAGAGUGGAAUUCCACGUGUAGCGGUGAAAUGCGUAGAGAUGUGGAGGAACACCAGUGGCGAAGGCGACUCUCUGGUCUGUAACUGACGCUGAGGAGCGAAAGCGUGGGGAGCGAACAGGAUUAGAUACCCGUGUAGUCCCUGUCUCUUAUAC
Molecule: ribosomal RNA, 304 nt
Filed under: uncultured bacterium
Lineage: Bacteria
Description: partial 16S ribosomal RNA
Rfam family: Bacterial small subunit ribosomal RNA
Source: RNAcentral